RNAcentral lists this transfer RNA (69 nucleotides) under Heliconius melpomene (postman butterfly). RNAcentral's name for it is "tRNA HMEL003841". The stretch from base 10 to 63 matches the Rfam family "tRNA", at positions 10 to 63 of the family's 71-position model. Rfam says of the family: Transfer RNA (tRNA) molecules are approximately 80 nucleotides in length. The record is from RNAcentral. Lineage: Eukaryota; Metazoa; Arthropoda; Insecta; Lepidoptera; Nymphalidae.
GUCCGCCGCGUUCAGUGGUAGAAUGCUCGCCUGCCACGCGGGCGGCCCGGGUUCGAUUCCCGGCCGAUU